CAGAGUUAUUUCUGUGUUCGUGCUGCAGUAAUUAUUGUACUACUAUUGUACCCCUAUUUGCUAUUGGACUUUACUUGCGUGGAAAGAGAAAAUCUUAACAGCUCCAGGAAGAGAAUCGUCCGGCCAUUGAUUCGAUACUAAGAUAGCAUUGGAAUGUGUGUGGUAAUGUGUAUUAUACGUGUAGGAGGAGUUAAUAGAUUUGGUCGUUGUGCACCUUGUGGUUAGGGAGGAGCGAAGGAAGCAGCACCUAUACAGCUAUGACCCUUGAGAGAUUGGUGCUCCAGUUGGUCGGGUAUUGAGUGCGAACCAGUCCCCAACGAAACAAGUUCUAAUUUCGAU
RNAcentral lists this long non-coding RNA (339 nucleotides) under Coffea arabica (coffee). RNAcentral describes it as "long non-coding RNA (CARA_LNC001883)". The record is from RNAcentral. Lineage: Eukaryota; Viridiplantae; Streptophyta; Magnoliopsida; Gentianales; Rubiaceae.